UGGGGAAUAUUGGACAAUGGGCGAAAGCCUGAUCCAGCCAUGCCGCGUGUGUGAAGAAGGUCUUCGGAUUGUAAAGCACUUUAAGUUGGGAGGAAGGGCAGUAAGUUAAUACCUUGCUGUUUUGACGUUACCGACAGAAUAAGCACCGGCUAACUCUGUGCCAGCAGCCGCGGUAAUACAGAGGGUGCAAGCGUUAAUCGGAAUUAAUGGGCGUAAAGCGCGCGUAGGUGGUUUGUUAAGUUGGAUGUGAAAGCCCCGGGCUCAACCUGGGAACUGCAUCCAAAACUGGCAAGCUAGAGUACGGUAGAGGGUGGUGGAAUUUCCUGUGUAGCGGUGAAAUGCGUAGAUAUAGGAAGGAACACCAGUGGCGAAGGCGACCACCUGGACUGAUACUGACACUGAGGUGCGAAAGCGUGGGGAGCAAACA
RNAcentral lists this ribosomal RNA (427 nucleotides) under uncultured bacterium. Its description in RNAcentral is "partial 16S ribosomal RNA". It matches the Rfam family "Bacterial small subunit ribosomal RNA", at positions 355 to 774 of the family's 1533-position model. The record is from RNAcentral.